This 242-nucleotide long non-coding RNA is filed under the name Trifolium pratense (red clover). Its description in RNAcentral is "long non-coding RNA (TPRA_LNC011224)". The record is from RNAcentral. Lineage: Eukaryota; Viridiplantae; Streptophyta; Magnoliopsida; Fabales; Fabaceae.
AGAUCCAAUAUCUAUUUUAUUUAUCACUAGACCUAACUUUUGGAGUUAGCUAUGCUUCUUUCUUUUUACUAAUUUAUUAUUAUUAUUAUUUGAAUAUUAAAUUAGUGUUUUUGUCUUUUUAAUUUUGAUGUGUUAAUUAGGUUUUCUAAGUUUUGCAGACAAUCCUAGGUUAAGAAAAAGUGGGCUUACAUGGAGGCGGUGGGGAGUGGCUAUUAGAUCUUUUUUUAUUUUAUUUUAGUUUU